RNAcentral lists this ribosomal RNA (497 nucleotides) under uncultured bacterium. Its description in RNAcentral is "partial 16S ribosomal RNA". It matches the Rfam family "Bacterial small subunit ribosomal RNA", at positions 28 to 507 of the family's 1533-position model. The record is from RNAcentral.
GAUGAACGCUGGCGGCGUGCCUAAUACAUGCAAGUCGAGCGAACAGACGAGGAGCUUGCUCCUCUGACGUUAGCGGCGGACGGGUGAGUAACACGUGGAUAACCUACCUAUAAGACUGGGAUAACUUCGGGAAACCGGAGCUAAUACCGGAUAAUAUAUUGAACCGCAUGGUUCAAUAGUGAAAGACGGUUUUGCUGUCACUUAUAGAUGGAUCCGCGCCGCAUUAGCUAGUUGGUAAGGUAACAGCUUACCAAGGCAACGAUGCGUAGCCGACCUGAGAGGGUAAUCGGCCAAACUGGAACUGAGACAGGGUCCAGACUCCUACGGGAGGAAGCAGAAGGGAAUCUUCCGCAAUGGGCGAAAGCCGGACGGAGCAACGCCGCGUGAGUGAUGAAGGUCUUCGGAUCGUAAAACUCUGUCAUUAGGGAAGAACAAAUGUGUAAGUAACUAUGCACGUCUUGACGGUACCUAAUCAGAAAGCCACGGCUAACUACGUG